This 254-nucleotide ribosomal RNA is filed under the name uncultured bacterium. RNAcentral's name for it is "partial 16S ribosomal RNA". It matches the Rfam family "Bacterial small subunit ribosomal RNA", at positions 524 to 776 of the family's 1533-position model. The record is from RNAcentral.
UACGUAGGGAGCAAGCGUUGUCCGGAAUCAUUGGGCGUAAAGCGCGCGUAGGUGGCUUCGUAAGUCCGUUGUGAAAGUCAAAGGCUCAACCUUUGAAAGCCGAUGGAUACUGCGGAGCUAGAGUACGGAAGAGGCGAGUGGAAUUCCUGGUGUAGCGGUGGAAUGCGCAGAUAUCAGGAGGAACACCAAUAGCGAAGGCAGCUCGCUGGGACGUUACUGACACUGAGGCGCGAAAGCGUGGGGGAGCAAACAGG